RNAcentral lists this ribosomal RNA (250 nucleotides) under uncultured bacterium. Its description in RNAcentral is "partial 16S ribosomal RNA". It matches the Rfam family "Bacterial small subunit ribosomal RNA", at positions 28 to 271 of the family's 1533-position model. The record is from RNAcentral.
GAUGAACGCUAGCGGCAGGCUUAAUACAUGCAAGUCGAGGGGCAGCAGGUCUGUAGCAAUACAGAUGCUGGCGACCGGCAAACGGGUGCGGAACACGUACAGAACCUUCCUUCGAGCGGGGAAUAGCCCAGAGAAAUUUGGAUUAAUACCCCAUAGUAUACUGAAGAGGCAUCUCUUUGGUAUUAAAGAUUUAUCACUUGAAGAUGGCUGUGCGGCUGAUUAGGUAGUUGGCGGGGUAAAGGCCCACCAA